GUGAGUAACGCGUGAGAAUCUGGCUCCAGGUCGGGGAUAACAGUUGGAAACGACUGCUAAUACCGGAUGUGCCGAGAGGUGAAAGAUUUAUCGCCUGGAGAUGAGCUCGCGUCUGAUUAGCUAGUUGGCGGUGUAAGGGACCACCAAGGCGUCGAUCAGUAGCUGGUCUGAGAGGAUGAUCAGCCACACUGGGACUGAGACACGGCCCAGACUCCUACGGGAGGCAGCAGUGGGGAAUUUUCCGCAAUGGGCGAAAGCCUGACGGAGCAAUACCGCGUGAGGGAGGAAGGCUCUUGGGUCGUAAACCUCUUUUCUCAAGGAAGAAGAAAGUGACGGUACUUGAGGAAUAAGCAUCGGCUAACUCCGUGCCAGCAGCCGCGGUAAUACGGAGGAUGCAAGCGUUAUCCGGAAUGAUUGGGCGUAAAGGGUCUGCAGGUGGAACUGAAAGUCUGCUGUUAAAGAGUUUGGCUUAACCAAAUAAAAGCGGUGGAAACUACAGAACUAGAGUGCGGUAGGGGCAAAAGGAAUUCCUGGUGUAGCGGUGAAAUGCGUAGAUAUCAGGAAGAACACCGGUGGCGAAAGCGUUUUGCUAGACCGUAACUGACACUGAGGGACGAAAGCUAGGGGAGCGAAUGGGAUUAGAUACCCCAGUAGUCCUAGCCGUAAACGAUGGAUACUAGGCGUGGCUUGUAUCGACCCGCGCCGUGUCGGAGCUAACGCGUUAAGUAUUCCGCCUGGGGAGUACGCACGCAAGUGUGAAACUCAAAGGAAUUGACGGGGGCCCGCACAAGCGGUGGAGUAUGUGGUUUAAUUCGAUGCAACGCGAAGAACCUUACCAAGGCUUGACAUCCUGCGAAUCCCGUGGAAAGCUGGGAGUGCCUUCGGGAACGCAGUGACAGGUGGUGCAUGGCUGUCGUCAGCUCGUGUCGUGAGAUGUUGGGUUAAGUCCCGCAACGAGCGCAACCCUCGUUUUUAGUUGCCAGCAUUAAGUUGGGCACUCUAGAGAGACUGCCGGUGACAAACCGGAGGAAGGUGUGGAUGACGUCAAGUCAUCAUGCCCCUUACGUCUUGGGCUACACACGUACUACAAUGCUACGGACAGAGGGCAGCGAGCUCGGGAUGGCUAGCGAAUCCAGAAACCGUAGCUCAGUUCAGAACGAAGGCUGGCACUCCGCCUCGUGAAAGAAGAAUCGCUAGUAAUUGCAAGGCCACAUACUGGAGUGAAUUCGUUCCCGGGCCUUGGACACCCCGCCCGUCACACCC
Molecule: ribosomal RNA, 1263 nt
Filed under: Cylindrospermopsis raciborskii
Lineage: Bacteria; Bacillati; Cyanobacteriota; Cyanophyceae; Nostocales; Aphanizomenonaceae
Description: bacterial SSU rRNA
Rfam family: Bacterial small subunit ribosomal RNA
Source: RNAcentral